This 770-nucleotide ribosomal RNA is filed under the name Russula sp. AC603. RNAcentral's name for it is "eukaryotic LSU rRNA". The stretch from base 214 to 367 matches the Rfam family "5.8S ribosomal RNA". The record is from RNAcentral. Lineage: Eukaryota; Fungi; Basidiomycota; Agaricomycetes; Russulales; Russulaceae.
UGCGGAAGGAUCAUUAUCGUACAACCGAGGUGUGAAGGCUGUCGCUGACUUUCAAAGGUCGUGCACGCCCGAGCAGUCUCACACAAUCCAUCUCACCCCUUUGUGCAUCACCGCGUGGGUCCCUCCCUUUGCAGGGAGGGGGUUCGCGUUUUAACAUAAAACUUGAUACUACAGUCCAGAAUGUUUAUUUUUGCGGUCACACGCAAUCAAUACAACUUUCAACAACGGAUCUCUUGGCUCUCGCAUCGAUGAAGAACGCAGCGAAAUGCGAUACGUAAUGUGAAUUGCAGAAUUCAGUGAAUCAUCGAAUCUUUGAACGCACCUUGCGCCCCUUGGCAUUCCGAGGGGCACACCCGUUUGAGUGUCGUGAAAUCCUCAAAACCCCCUUUUCUUUCAUCGGAAUCGGGAUUUUGGACUUGGAGGCUUCAAUGCUCGCUUUUGCUUUUGAAAGCGAGCUCCUCUUAAAUGAAUUAGUGGGGUCCGCUUUGCCGAUCCUUGACGUGAUAAGAUGUUUCUACGUUUUGGAUUUGGCACUGUUUUCUCCGCUCCUAACUGUCCCAUGGACAAUGAUGGUGCUCUGGUCCUCGUCAUCUAACGUUGGCGGGAGGCUGGACCCACAAAAAGAACCUUGACCUCAAAUCGGGUGAGACUACCCGCUGAACUUAAGCAUAUCAAUAAGCGGAGGAAAAGAAACUAACAAGGAUUCCCCUAGUAACUGCGAGUGAAGCGGGAAAAGCUCAAAUUUAAAAUCUGGUGGUCUUUGGCCAUCC